RNAcentral lists this ribosomal RNA (437 nucleotides) under uncultured bacterium. Its description in RNAcentral is "partial 16S ribosomal RNA". It matches the Rfam family "Bacterial small subunit ribosomal RNA", at positions 28 to 507 of the family's 1533-position model. The record is from RNAcentral.
GAUGAACGCUGGCGGCAUGCUUAACGCAUGCAAAUCGGACGGGAAGUUGUGUUUCCAGUGGUGGACGGGGGAGUAACGCGCGUAAACCUUCUCUAGUGUGCGGUACAAUAGCGGGAAACGGCUGCUAAUACCCCGUAGUACGCCGUGGAAUAGGAGGAAUCCGCCCGAGGAGGGUCUCGCGUCUGAUUAGCUAGUUUGUGAGGGAGUAGCUUACCAAGGCGAUGAUCAGUAGCUCGUCCGAGAGGAUGAUCAGCCACACUGGGACUGAGGCACGGCCCACAGUCCGGAGGGAGGCAGAAGGGGGGGAAGUUCGACACUGCGCGAAAGCGUGAAGGAGCAAUGUCGCAUGGAGGGAGAAGGGCUACUGGUCGUGAACUACUAUGCCCGGGGAAAAGGCAAUGACGGUAUCUGAGGAAUAAGCAUCGGCUAACUCUGUG